This 309-nucleotide ribosomal RNA is filed under the name uncultured bacterium. RNAcentral's name for it is "bacterial SSU rRNA". It matches the Rfam family "Bacterial small subunit ribosomal RNA", at positions 28 to 334 of the family's 1533-position model. The record is from RNAcentral.
GACGAACGCUGGCGGCGCGCCUAACACAUGCAAGUCGAACGAGCGAGAGAGAGCUUGCUUUCUCGAGCGAGUGGCGAACGGGUGAGUAACGCGUGAGGAACCUGCCUCAAAGAGGGGGACAACAGUUAGAAAUGACUGCUAAUACCGCAUAAGCGCACAGUAUCGCAUGAUACAGUGUGAAAAACUCCGGUGGUACAAGAUGGACCCGCGUCUGAUUAGCUAGUCGGUAAGGUAACGGCUUACCAAGGCAAUGAUGCAUAGCCGAGUUGAGAGACUGAUCGGCCACAUUGGGACUGAGACACGGCCCAA